GGCAAUCAACUUCCACCAUCCAUCCAUUGAAUCUUUAAUAAUCGAGUGAUUAUGAAUGAGCUGUCUUCCAAAAUCCAUCAAAAGGAACAUGUUUUUACUCCCUGGAAUAACACCAGUUGUUCAGGACGCAUUCACUUGACAAGCCCUAUACUUCGCUUCCUACUUGCCUGACAUAAUUCCCAAGCUAUCUUCUAGUCACCCUAAACACUUCCCCAUCACAGCCGCACAUUGCAAGUUUGCCUCUUCAGUUAGUCUGUUCUUGUCAUUGUUCCGAGGUGGAAACCAUGAGAGAACGUUCAAUCCGCCUUGUGGUAAGCGCAAUGAACCGGAUUUUCGACCUCUUCGAAAGCAGAUUUCCUGAGAAGGCUGGUUCCGUAGAAGCCGGCUCCGUUGGGGCUGCGUCCACUCCGCCACCAACCUACUUGGUCGCGAUGGCACGAGAGGCUCAAGGCGAGACAUUGGAGACCCGGGUCUCGAAUCUUUACGACCUGUUGGUCCUUAGACAUUCUGAGGGUGCCUUCACAGAACAACAAGUACGCCUAGCAGUUGCUGCCCAACUCGGCGUUACGACCGAAGUUGAGGCCAAUGAUUCUUCUAGAGCUGAAACACCAGAGCAUCUUGGAUGCUUCUCAAACCCAUGUUUGGAAUGCCUGCCCCGUCAAUGAUCUAGUAUUGUUUUGCAUAUAAAGAUAUUCCCAAUUUCA
Molecule: RNA transcript, 704 nt
Organism: Tigriopus californicus
Lineage: Eukaryota; Metazoa; Arthropoda; Copepoda; Harpacticoida; Harpacticidae
Exons: 2
Source: RefSeq, a predicted model, not a curated record